AACGAACGCUGGCGGCAUGCCUAACACAUGCAAGUCGAACGAGACCUUCGGGUCUAGUGGCGCCCGGGUGCGUCACGCGUGGGAACCUGCCCUUAGGUUCGGAAUAACUCCCCGACAGGGGUGCUAAUACCGGAUAAUGUCUUCGGACCAAAGAUUUAUCGCGGUUGGUUGGGCCCGCGUUGGAUACGCUAGUUGGUAGGGUAAAAGCCUACCACGGGGACGAUCCAUAGCUGGUUUGGGAGGAUGAUCAGCCACACUGGGACGGAGACACGGCCCAGACUCCUACGGGAGGCAGCAGUGGGGAAUAGUGGACAAUGGGCGAAAGCAUGAAGCAGCAAUGCCGCGUGAGUGAUGAAGGCCGUAGGGUUGUAAAGCUCUUUUACCCGGGAUGAUAAUGACAGUACCGGGAGAAUAAGCUCCGGCUAACUCCGUG
This 433-nucleotide ribosomal RNA is filed under the name uncultured bacterium. Its description in RNAcentral is "partial 16S ribosomal RNA". It matches the Rfam family "Bacterial small subunit ribosomal RNA", at positions 29 to 507 of the family's 1533-position model. The record is from RNAcentral.